CGUGGAGACAGGUGGUGCAUGGCUGUCGUCAGCUCGUGUCGUGAGAUGUUGGGUUAAGUCCCGCAACGAGCGCAACCCUCACCCCUUGUUGCCAACAGGUCACGCUGGGCACUCUAGGGGAACUGCCCCGGUCAACGGGGAGGAAGGCGGGGAUGACGUCAAGUCAUCAUGCCCCUUACGUCCUGGGCUACACACGUGCUACAAUGGGCGGCACAAAGGGAAGCGACGCCGCGAGGUGUAGCAAAUCCCAAAAAACCGUUCUCAGUUCGGAUCGGAGUCUGCAACUCGACUCCGUGAAGUUGGAAUCGCUAGUAAUCGUGGAUCAGCAUGCCACGGUGAAUACGUUCCCGGGCCUUGUACACACCGCCCGUCACACCACGAAAGUCUGCUGUACUCGAAGUCGCUGAG
This 408-nucleotide ribosomal RNA is filed under the name uncultured Methylomirabilota bacterium. RNAcentral's name for it is "bacterial SSU rRNA". It matches the Rfam family "Bacterial small subunit ribosomal RNA", at positions 1027 to 1434 of the family's 1533-position model. The record is from RNAcentral. Lineage: Bacteria; Methylomirabilota (SeqCode).